AUGCACAGGUUUUUAUGUGAACAUAAGUUUUCAUUUCUCUGUGGAAGACAAGUAGGAACAGGAUUCCUAGUUCAUAUGUCUCUUGGAGUGUACAGUGGCGCGAUCUCUGCUCAUUGCAAUCUCCGCCUCCAGGUUCAAGCAGUUCUCCUGCCUCAGCCCCCGAGUAACUGGGACUACAGGUGCGCACCACCACACCUGGCUAAUUUUUUUAAAUUUAUUUUUUAUUUUUUUAAGUAGAGACAUGUUUCACCAUGUUGGCCAGGAUGGUCUUGAUCUCCUGACCUCUUGAUCCGCCCACCUCAGCCUCCCAAAGUGCUGGGAUUACAGGCGUGAGCCAAAGGGCCCGGCCACUGAUUUUCUUUCUACUUGUUCUAAUGUUUAGGUGAGAGGAAUGUUGAAAUCUCCAACUAUAUUUGUGGGUCUGUCCAUUUUUCCUUUCAGUUUGUCAGUUUUUGGUUUACGUAUUUUGAAGUUUUGUUUUUAGGUGCAUGCACAUUUAAGAUUGUUAUGUCUUCUUGGCGUAACGUAACUUGAUUAAUUGACUCAUUUAUCCUUUUGUAAUUACUCUCCCUACCUCCAGUAAUCUUUUCCUGUUUUGAAGUCUGCUUUGUCAGGUACUAAUACAACUACAUCAGCUCGUGCUUACUUACUGCUUGCUUUUACUAUAUUUUUACAUGUAACAUACUUCUUCAUAUUAAAAGUAGGUUUAUGGAGACAGCACAGAAUUAGAGCUAGAGUUCAACAAUUUGUCAUUUCCAUUGGAGACUCGGAAGGGAGAGGGUGAGAGAGGGGUGAAGAAUGAGAAAUUACUUACAGGUACAGUGUAAACUAUUUAGAUGAUGGCUGCACUAGUGGCCUGGCCUUCAGCACUAGGCAAUAUACCCAUGCCACAAAACUGCAUGUGUACCCCCUAAAAUCUAAUUUUAAAAAUAAGAGAUUAAAAAGACGGUUUUUUAAUUUGUGUGUUUAGGUCAUUUUAUUUAAUAACCAUUAUGCUUACAUUUAGGUCUACCAUUUAAAGUUUGUUUUCUGUUUAUCCUUUCUGUUAUUUGUUCCUCU
RNAcentral lists this long non-coding RNA (1059 nucleotides) under Papio anubis (olive baboon). Its description in RNAcentral is "lncRNA (ENSPANG00000045363.1)". The record is from RNAcentral. Lineage: Eukaryota; Metazoa; Chordata; Mammalia; Primates; Cercopithecidae.